CAAUAGCGUAUAUUAAAGUUGUUGCAGUUAAAAAGCUCGUAGUUGGAUUUCUGGGAGGGUGCCAAUGUCCGUCGUCGUACGUGUUGCAGCGGCGCCCUUCCAUCCUUCUGUUAACGACUUUGGGCAUUCAUUUGCCGGAGUCGGGCUCAGAUAUUUUUACCUUGAGAAAAUUAGAGUGUUUCAGGCAGGCUAGGCCGGAAUACAUUAGCAUGGAAUAAUGGAAAAGGACUUCAACCUCUUCUGUUGGUCUGAGAGGCUGUAGUAAUGAUUAAUAGGGAUAGUUGGGGGCAUUAGUACUUAACUGUCAGAGGUGAAAUUCUCCGAUUUGUUAAAGACUAACUUAUGCGAAAGCAUUUGCCAAGGAUGUUUUCAUUAAUCAAGAACGAAAGUUAGGGGAUCAAAGAUGAUUAGAUACCA
Molecule: ribosomal RNA, 417 nt
Filed under: uncultured eukaryote
Lineage: Eukaryota
Description: SSU rRNA
Rfam family: Eukaryotic small subunit ribosomal RNA
Source: RNAcentral